UACGUAGGGUGCAAGCGUUGUCCGGAAUUAUUGGGCGUAAAGGGCUCGUAGGCGGUCCAUCGCGUCGGGAGUGAAAAGCUGGGGCUCAACCCCAGUCCUGCUUCCGAUACGGGUGGACUAGAGGUAUGCAGGGGAGAACGGAAUUCCUGGUGUAGCGGUGAAAUGCGCAGAUAUCAGGAGGAAUACCGAUGGCGAAGGCAGGUCUCUGGGCUGACACUGACGCUCAUGCACGAAAGCGUGGGGAGCAAACAGG
Molecule: ribosomal RNA, 253 nt
Filed under: uncultured bacterium
Lineage: Bacteria
Description: partial 16S ribosomal RNA
Rfam family: Bacterial small subunit ribosomal RNA
Source: RNAcentral